GACGAACGCUGGCGGCGUGCCUAAUACAUGCAAGUAGAACGCUGAAGGAGGAGCUUGCUUCUCUGGAUGAGUUGCGAACGGGUGAGUAACGCGUAGGUAACCUGCCUGGUAGCGGGGGAUAACUAUUGGAAACGAUGGCUAAUACCGCAUAAGAGUAGAUGUUGCAUGACAUUUGCUUAAAAGGUGCAAUUGCAUCACUACCAGAUGGACCUGCGUUGUAUUAGCUAGUUGGUGGGGUAACGGCUCACCAAGGCGACGAUACAUAGCCGACCUGAGAGGGUGAUCGGCCACACUGGGACUGAGACACGGCCCAGACUCCUACGGGAGGCAGCAGUAGGGAAUCUUCGGCAAUGGACGGAAGUCUGACCGAGCAACGCCGCGUGAGUGAAGAAGGUUUUCGGAUCGUAAAGCUCUGUUGUAAGAGAAGAACGAGUGUGAGAGUGGAAAGUUCACACG
RNAcentral lists this ribosomal RNA (456 nucleotides) under Streptococcus mitis. RNAcentral's name for it is "bacterial SSU rRNA". It matches the Rfam family "Bacterial small subunit ribosomal RNA", at positions 28 to 470 of the family's 1533-position model. The record is from RNAcentral. Lineage: Bacteria; Bacillati; Bacillota; Bacilli; Lactobacillales; Streptococcaceae.